GAUGAAGAACGCAGCGAAAUGCGAUAAGUAGUGUGAAUUGCAGAAUUCAGUGAAUCAUCGAAUCUUUGAACGCACAUUGCGCCCCUUGGUAUUCCAUGGGGCAUGCCUGUUCGAGCGUCAUUUGUACCUUCAAGCUCUGCUUGGUGUUGGGUGUUUGUCUCGCCUCUGCGUGUAGACUCGCCUCAAAACAAUUAGCAGCCGGCGUAUUGAUUUCGGAGCGCAGUACAUCUCGCGCUUUGCACUCAUAACGACGACGUCCAAAAGUACAUUUUUACACUCUUGACCUCGGAUCAGGUAGGGAUACCCGCUGAACUUAAGCAUAUCAAUAAGCGGAGGA
Molecule: unclassified non-coding RNA, 337 nt
Filed under: soil metagenome
Description: partial contains 5.8S ribosomal RNA, internal transcribed spacer 2, and large subunit ribosomal RNA
Rfam family: 5.8S ribosomal RNA (bases 1-120)
Source: RNAcentral